UGGGGAAUUUUGGACAAUGGGCGAAAGCCUGAUCCAGCAAUGCCGCGUGUGUGAAGAAGGCCUUCGGGUUGUAAAGCACUUUUGUCCGGAAAGAAAUCCUUGGCUCUAAUACAGUCGGGGGAUGACGGUACCGGAAGAAUAAGCACCGGCUAACUACGUGCCAGCAGCCGCGGUAAUACGUAGGGUGCAAGCGUUAAUCGGAAUUACUGGGCGUAAAGCGUGCGUAGGCGGUUUGCUAAGACCGAUGUGAAAUCCCCGGGCUCAACCUGGGAACUGCAUUGGUGACUGGCAGGCUAGAGUAUGGCAGAGGGGGGUAGAAUUCCACGUGUAGCAGUGAAAUGCGUAGAGAUGUGGAGGAAUACCGAUGGCGAAGGCAGCCCCCUGGGCCAAUACUGACGCUCAUGCACGAAAGCGUGGGGAGCAAACAGGAUUAGAUACCCUGGUAGUCCACGCCCUAAACGAUGUCAACUAGUUGUUGGGGAUUCAUUCCUUAGUAACGUAGCUAACGCGUGAAGUUGACCGCCUGGGGAGUACGGUCGCAAGAUUAAAACUCAAAGGAAUUGACGGGGUCAA
RNAcentral lists this ribosomal RNA (573 nucleotides) under uncultured bacterium. RNAcentral's name for it is "partial 16S ribosomal RNA". It matches the Rfam family "Bacterial small subunit ribosomal RNA", at positions 355 to 922 of the family's 1533-position model. The record is from RNAcentral.